Non-coding RNA from Paramuricea clavata, 1443 nucleotides. The record is from the annotation of a GenBank genome assembly. NCBI's taxonomy places the organism in Eukaryota, Metazoa, Cnidaria, Anthozoa, Malacalcyonacea, Plexauridae.
AUUUUACAUAGCCUCAGGCAAUGUUUAUAUAAUUAAUCUUGAGUAAUAGAGAUGCUGCACCCCCUGACGGAGUGACCUUACUACCUGGAUCAUCCCACUAGGCAAGACAAGUUCAAAACUUUCCAUGCAAACACUUGCAUGGCAGUUGCUAUAGUAGGAUAUGAAUAUAGUUUUGCCUUGCCAGGGUGGCUCGGGGGGGGGGUAGGAUUUCCCUAGUACCUGGAGACCAUAUAGACAGGCCGUCGGAUUACUGUAAUAGUUUAAUUGAGGUUCAAAAAAGCAGCCCCCCCCCCAAAGUGGUAGGUCUGCUCCCCAAAUCCAGCCCCCCUUGGAAGAUGUACUGUAAAGCUAGACAAUUUUACUUGUUAACCCAACUUUAUUAUUCUGUCUAACACCGGACGAUCCAGUUAACCCAUUGAGUUGCAUUGCAUGUGCCCUGAUGCACCCUACUUUAUUAUUUUACUCUGUCUAAUGCCAGACGAUUUUACUCGUCAAGGGGUGAGCACACUUUAACAUGCAAAGUAUUAAUUGGGAAUACUUUCUCUUUUAAUGGGAAACUCUUUAUCAAUAAAAGGAACAAUGCAAUUAUUCUGUAGUAUUUAAUUUUUCAUAUAAAGCAAAGACUGUAAGAGGAAACAUGGAUCAUUGGCUACUUUUUUUAUUUAGUAUUAAUUUUCAUGACAACAUGUGGGUCAACUAUAAAGGAAACAGUUAUUGCCUAUUUUGGAAUAAAAAAUUUAGAAUAUAGCAAUAUUCAUUGACAUUGAACACAUAUUUAAUUUAUUUAGUUUUUGAAUAAUUUAAGUUCUUAAAUGUAUAUAAAUGUGACAUAAAAUAAACAACAUUUAUUAAAAUUGUAUUUUUAAAUCCCAAUUACACUGUUGUAUUUACAUUUCACUGUUGUAGUAUUUACACUGUCAGUAGUUAUUACACUGUAGUAUUUACAUUUCAAGACCUUAACCAACAUCAUUCCUUGGAGUUUCUCAUGACAAGAUGUCUCAACCAAGAUCCUCUGGAGAACUUCUUUGGCCUCAUUAGGCAGCAGGGGGGGGGGGGAUUGUGACAACCAAUUAGUCCCAUCCAGUUCACCAGAGCAUUUUGCAUAUUAUUUGUAGAUAAUAUUUUGACACCACUUUCAAUUGGCAGCUGUGCUGAAGAUUCUGAUGCCUAUUUGAUUGCAUUUCACCCUAGCCAAUCUGAUUUAUCUGCAGGAAAUGAUCAGACAAGCCCACCACUAAUCCAAGCAGUUGAAGAUACCGACUACAAAACAAAUGAAAUUGAACAAAACUUAGUCUGCAUGAACUUAUGUGUCAAGCUAUUUAUUAAGGAAGUGCCUUAUCCAACAUAGCUGUCCAAUAUGCCAUCAUAAUUUUGUGAUAAAGGAUGUCAAUGACAGUAGUCUCUGCUAUUCUGCAUGUGAAAGACCUCUGACCUUUGAAGGCG